Molecule: ribosomal RNA, 417 nt
Filed under: uncultured eukaryote
Lineage: Eukaryota
Description: SSU rRNA
Rfam family: Eukaryotic small subunit ribosomal RNA
Source: RNAcentral
CAAUAGCGUAUAUUAAAGUUGUUGCAGUUAAAAGCUCGUAGUUGGAUUUCUGGCAGGAGUGACCGGCCGCACACACUGUGUGUGAGUUGCGUCAUUCUGGCCAUCCUUGGUGAGAUCCUGUUUGGCAUUAAGUUGUCGGGCAGGGGAUAACCAUCGUUUACUGUGAAAAAAUUAGAGUGUUAAAUAGCAGGCUUAUGCCGUUGAAUAUAUUAGCAUGGAAUAAUAAGAUAGGACUUUGGUACUAUUUUGUUGGUUGCGCACCAAAGUAAUGAUUAAUAGGGACAGUUGGGGGUAUUCGUAUUCCGUUGUCAGAGGUGAAAUUCUUGGAUUUACGGAAGACGAACUACUGCGAAAGCAUUUACCAAGGAUGUUUUCAUUAAUCAAGAACGAAAGUUAGGGGAUCGAAGAUGAUCAGAU